This is a long non-coding RNA of Ornithodoros turicata, 1016 nucleotides long. RefSeq lists it as uncharacterized. NCBI's taxonomy places the organism in Eukaryota, Metazoa, Arthropoda, Arachnida, Ixodida, Argasidae. The record is from RefSeq and is a predicted model, not a curated record. The transcript has 2 exons.
UUCAUUUUUCCUACUCGUCGCGUAACGUAAACGUAUAACGACAGAAGUACUAUCAGCAUCGCUAUUAAUGGCCUUAAGCCUUGGCCAGGAUCGAGUCAGUUGUCUUCGAAAGAAAAAAAGGUAUCGCCGUGAACGCUGGUGCAUAUUAUGCAGGGAUCGCAGCCGGUACGGGCAGAAAAUGAGUUGAAAAGUGUCGGUAUUGUGCUUGUGGUGGUAGGAGUGAUUGUGGGUGCCGCCAUCUUUGCUGGGACAAAAUUUAAGCCGGAGGUCAAGGCCGACACACCUUCCACAAAUACCGCUAUGCAGAACUCGUCCACAGCACGACUGGCAUUGCAACAAGCGCAACAAGAACAACAGCUACCGCAUCCGACUGAACUACAGUAGUGUUUUUUGUAGCAGUGGUUGCCAUUGCAAACUGUGGUAGUCGCUGCAAAGCGGUUACAACAUCUUCAAUAGAAAAACUAACCACCACUGUAACAACUACCUCCACAACUACGAGAGCGACCACAACACUGGGACAUGAGCUGUGGUAUAGCGCCCUCAUGCUUCAAACUUGUCGACGAAUUCCCUCGAGAAUAGAUGUGCCGCUUCCUCUAUUGACUAAACGUCGCGGCGAGAUGAACAACCCUCUUUAUUCAGUCGCAUCUGCGUUGAGCCACUCAACGUUGAGAGCUUUUUCAUACUUGGCGACUUUGUCGAACAUUUUUGUGUGUUUUGCGUGUGCCCGUCAUAAAUACAGUGGAUAGCUUUCACAUUGUAAGCCCUCUACUUCACUGAAAACUUACAAGAUUGAUUUUCUAUUGACACGUGUGUGUACCGCAGUGAACUGGCGGCGAAUGAGGUGUGACCGGAAAGUCCAACGUGGUAGACUGAUGAGGACCACAUUUCACGUUUGAACAAUCAAUUAAUCGAUUCAGCUGUUCAGAGCAUUUUUCAUCAUAUACGCCAAAAGAAAACAUGUUCGUGUUCAUAUUGUUGGCGUGGAAACGUAGCGAUAUAAAGUAUACCUCAACGAC